ACUUUCUCAUACCAUCACUAAAAACAACCAUCACUUCACUCUUCUUUCUGUUUUGUGGGGUUAAAGCCUUUCACUACUUCUUUCUUCUUGAAAAAAAAGAAGGAAAAAAAAAAAGCCUUUCCAAGUUUUUUUCCUCUUGUUUAUCCCCACAGCUCAAGAAUAUUUAUUAUCUCUAAUUAAGAGAAUUCCAAUAAUUAUUUUAUCUUAAGAUGGAAUCAUCUUGGACACCAAGGCAAAACAAAAUAUUUGAACAUGCCCUAGCUAUAUAUGAUAGGGAAACACCGGAUAGGUGGCAGAAUAUUGCGAAAAUGGUGGGAAAAUCUAUAGAGGAGGUUAAGAUGCACUACGAGAUCCUCAAAGAAGAUAUCAAGCGCAUUGAGCAAGAUCAAGUGCCAUUUCCUUAUGCAGGCUCAUGAUACUUAUAUAUCCAGAACCCCAAAUUAGCAGACUAUAAAGAGCAUACCCAAGGAUAAAUGAAUUACCAGAAGUGAAGCUACAAAUUAAAGGAGUCUGAUUUCUUUGUAAAUUAAUUAUUAAUUAUGAAUCAAAAUCUUCUACGUUGGGCUGUAAAAAAAUAAUGUAAUUAAUGUAUGUGAAACAAUAUUUAUUCAUGUAAUAAAUACUAAUGACUAGUUGGCUAUCUGUCAAA
Molecule: long non-coding RNA, 649 nt
Organism: Glycine soja
Lineage: Eukaryota; Viridiplantae; Streptophyta; Magnoliopsida; Fabales; Fabaceae
Exons: 2
Source: RefSeq, a predicted model, not a curated record